CCGGUAGUUGAAAUGGCUUUCCCUCCAGAGUGGAUCCUGAGUACGGCGGAACACGUGAAAUUCCGUCGGAAUCCGGGAGGACCAUCUCCCAAGGCUAAAUACUCCCUAGUGACCGAUAGUGAACCAGUACCGUGAGGGAAAGGUGAAAAGCACCCCGGAAGGGGAGUGAAACAGUUCCUGAAACCGUGUGCCUACAAGUAGUUAGAGCCCGUUAAUGGGUGAUAGCGUGCCUUUUGUAGAAUGAACCGGCGAGUUACGAUUUGUUGCAAGGUUAAGCGGAAAAAGCGGAGCCGUAGCGAAAGCGAGUCUGAAUAGGGCGCAUAAGUAACAGGUCGUAGACCCGAAACCAGGUGAUCUACCCAUGUCCAGGAUGAAGGUAAGGUAAUACUUACUGGAGGUCCGAACCCACGCACGUUGAAAAGUGCGGGGAUGAGGUGUGGGUAGCGGAGAAAUUCCAAUCGAACUUGGAGAUAGCUGGUUCUCUCCGAAAUAGCUUUAGGGCUAGCCUCGAGGUAAAGAGUCAUGGAGGUAGAGCACUGUUUGGACUAGGGGCCCUUCUCGGGUUACCGAAUUCAGAUAAACUCCGAAUGCCAUGUACUUAUACUCGGGAGUCAGACUGCGAGUGAUAAGAUCCGUAGUCGAAAGGGAAACAGCCCAGACCACCAGUUAAGGUCCCCAAAUAUAUGUUAAGUGGAAAAGGAUGUGGGGUUGCUUAGACAACCAGGAUGUUGGCUUAGAAGCAGCCACCAUUGAAAGAGUGCGUAAUAGCUCACUGGUCGAGUGACCCCGCGCCGAAAAUGUACCGGGGCUAAACAUAUUACCGAAACUGUGGAUGAACCUCUUUAGAGGUUCGUGGUAGGAGAGCGUUCUAAGGGCGGUGAAGUCAGACCGGAAGGACUGGUGGAGCGCUUAGAAGUGAGAAUGCCGGUAUGAGUAGCGAAAGAAGGGUGAGAAUCCCUUCCACCGAAUAUCUAAGGUUUCCUGAGGAAGGCUCGUCCGCUCAGGGUUAGUCGGGACCUAAGCCGAGGCCGAUAGGCGUAGGCGAUGGACAACAGGUAGAGAUUCCUGUACCAGUGCUAAUUGUUUAACCGAUGGGGUGACACAGAAGGAUAGGGAAUCGCACGAAUGGAAAUGUGCGUCCAAGCAGUGAGUGUGAGAAGUAGGCAAAUCCGCUUCUCGCGAAGCAUGAGCUGUGAUGGGGAAGGAAAUUAAGUACGGAAGUUCCUGAUUUCACGCUGUCAAGAAAAGCCUCUAGGAAGAGUAGUACUGCCCGUACCGCAAACCGACACAGGUAGAUGAGGAGAGAAUCCUAAGGUGAGCGAGAGAACUCUCGUUAAGGAACUCGGCAAAAUGACCCCGUAACUUCGGGAGAAGGGGUGCUCUAUUAGGGUGCAAGCCCGAGAGAGCCGCAGUGAAUAGGCCCAGGCGACUGUUUAGCAAAAACACAGGUCUCUGCAAAACCGUAAGGUGACGUAUAGGGGCUGACGCCUGCCCGGUGCUGGAAGGUUAAGAGGAGUGCUUAGCUUCGGCGAAGGUACGAAUUGAAGCCCCAGUAAACGGCGGCCGUAACUAUAACGGUCCUAAGGUAGCGAAAUUCCUUGUCGGGUAAGUUCCGACCCGCACGAAAGGCGCAACGAUCUGGGCACUGUCUCAACGAGAGACUCGGUGAAAUUAUAGUACCUGUGAAGAUGCAGGUUACCCGCGACAGGACGGAAAGACCCCGUGGAGCUUUACUGCAACCUGAUAUGGAAUGUUUGUACCGCUUGUACAGGAUAGGUAGGAGCCGAAGAGACGUGUGCGCUAGCAUACGAGGAGGCAAUGGUGGGAUACUACCCUGGCUGUAUGACCAUUCUAACCCGCCACGCUUAGCGCGUGGGGAGACAGUGUCAGGUGGGCAGUUUGACUGGGGCGGUCGCCUCCUAAAGAGUAACGGAGGCGCCCAAAGGUUCCCUCAGAAUGGAUGGAAAUCAUUCGCAGAGUGUAAAGGCACAAGGGAGCUUGACUGCGAGACUGACAAGUCGAGCAGGGACGAAAGUCGGGCUUAGUGAUCCGGUGGUUCCGCAUGGAAGGGCCAUCGCUCAACGGAUAAAAGCUACCCCGGGGAUAACAGGCUUAUCUCCCCCAAGAGUCCACAUCGACGGGGAGGUUUGGCACCUCGAUGUCGGCUCGUCGCAUCCUGGGGCUGUAGUCGGUCCCAAGGGUUGGGCUGUUCGCCCAUUAAAGCGGCACGCGAGCUGGGUUCAGAACGUCGUGAGACAGUUCGGUCCCUAUCCGUCGCGGGCGCAGGAAAUUUGAGAGGAGCUGUCCUUAGUACGAGAGGACCGGGAUGGACACACCGCUGGUGUACCAGUUGUUCCGCCAGGAGCAUCGCUGGGUAGCUAUGUGUGGCAGGGAUAAACGCUGAAAGCAUCUAAGCGUGAAGCCCCCCUCAAGAUGAGAUUUCCCAUUUCUUCGGAAAGUAAGAUCCCUGAAAGAUGAUCAGGUAGAUAGGUUUGGAGUGGAAGUGUAGCGAUACAUGGAGCGGACAAAUACUAAUCGAUCGAGGACUUAACCAAAA
Molecule: ribosomal RNA, 2557 nt
Filed under: Listeria monocytogenes
Lineage: Bacteria; Bacillati; Bacillota; Bacilli; Caryophanales; Listeriaceae
Description: partial 23S ribosomal RNA
Rfam family: Bacterial large subunit ribosomal RNA
Source: RNAcentral